RNAcentral lists this non-coding RNA (28 nucleotides) under Rattus norvegicus (Norway rat). The record is from RNAcentral. Lineage: Eukaryota; Metazoa; Chordata; Mammalia; Rodentia; Muridae.
UGCCGUAGUCCCCUUUUUUGAGGGAAUA